UUCUCUUUCUCUUUCUCUCCCACACACACCUACAACAUGAGAGCUUCUCUCUCUUUCUCUCAAACCCUCUACAUUUUCGCUUUAGGUAGGCUUAAAUUUUCAAACCAGUAGCACAUUAAUGGAUUAAGUAAACUAAAUAUUCCAUUGUUAGUGGUUAAGUCAAUUAUUUUUGUGAGUAAAUUUAAUAAUUUUUAAGCUUUCAUGAUUUCUAGGUCGGUUUUGCUGAAUUAUUGGAAUGAAUUCUGACAAACCAAUUUAGUUGCGUAAAUAUAAAUAUUUUCGAAAUAUGAAAGUAAUGUGCUAGUAUUACAAUUAGCCAACUAAAAUUACCUAAUCCAAUUUAGUUAGAUAAAUAUUGGGCCCAAAAUUAAGCUACUUACACCACAGCAAAUUUUCUUAGACUUGAAAGCUGAAAUGUGGUAAAUAUAUGUUGCUAAAUUACACUGCAGGGCCUUAAAUUAGAAAUUUAGAUGCAAUUCGCUAUCAAAUUUUAAUCUACCAUAUUUCCUAGGUUGGUUAAACUAUUAUAAUAUGACAGAUAACGACUUAAGGCAUACAAUUGCAGACAGUUGUGUAAUUAUUGAUAUUUUAUGUAAAAAAAUAAAAGUUAUGCAAAUCGCUCGUACGUUUUAUUUUUUCUACCCAAAAUUUGAAUUCCAUUGUAUGCUUAAUUAUUGAAGUUGUUUGGUUAAAUGGCGAAUUAUUAGCGAUGAUAUUAUCAGUUCAAAAAAAUCGAGUUUAUCUCUGAGUCCGAGUGCAGUGCAAACACAGAGACAUAAUGUUUUUUUUUUUAUUUAUCUGGUCAAGUUAGCAGUUCUGAGCAUGCAUCAUGUAGGUUCUUGAAGUCUAAGUUCAUAAUUGAAUUCAAACCCGCACGGCUACUGCAAACAUGGCAUCCAAUUUCUAUCCCAACUAUGCCGAUCUAGAAAUUUUUUCUUUCAAAUAAGAUCACUCUAUAAUUUACUGCACAAAUUCAAUUUGAUGAUAAGAAAGAAAGCAAAAGGACAAGGAAUAUUCUAUGUACUAUGGGAAAUUUUGUAAGAGAAAAGUUUAUCUUGUGUGUGAGAUAUUAUUUUUAUUGGACUUAGAGAAGUAAAAGGCAAUUUAGAAAUGAUUCACGGUGAAAUUGGAAUGAAAACAGGAGAUUUAGAAUUUUCUGUAAGGAACGGAGCUUUUUUUUAGCAGAAAAUUCAGUGUCAGAAAAUUUGAAAAUUUGAGAGUAUGUCGGAAUUAUUUUUCUGAGGCUAGAUUAAAGUUUCAUGUCAUUCGGACAUUCGGAAAGUGGAAACGGAACAUAACAACAAUCUGAUAAAGAUUUUAGUUGGUAGACCUUUUGGUGGCCAAAAUUGAUUCAAAACUGAAAAAUUAAGAUCACGUUCUUCUGAUUGAUUUUAACUGAGCUUGACUUUCAAAUUUGAGCGUAAACGGACAUUCAGAAGGGCUCCAACUAAAAGUAUUAGAUUCUGAACUGGACUAAACUGUAAGUUGUAGUUGUUGGGGGGCCUAUAUGUAAGCCCACAUCAUCUCUCCCUUGUUUUGCCCAACACGUGUGAGAGUGGAGAAGAUUCUUUCUCUCUUUCUCUCCCACACACACCCACAACAUGAGAGCUUCUCUUUCUUUCUCUCAAACCCUCUACAUUUUCGGUUUAGGUAGGUUUGAAUUUUCAAACCAGCAGCACAUUAAUGGAUUAAGUAAACUAAAUAUUCUAUUGUUAGUGGUUAAGUAAAUUAUUUUUUUGAGUCAAUUUAAUAAUUUCUAAGCUUUCAUGAUUUCUAGGUCGGUUUUGCUGAAUUAUUGGAAUGAAUUCUGACAAACCAAUUU
Molecule: long non-coding RNA, 1822 nt
Filed under: Ananas comosus (pineapple)
Lineage: Eukaryota; Viridiplantae; Streptophyta; Magnoliopsida; Poales; Bromeliaceae
Description: long non-coding RNA (ACOM_LNC009762)
Source: RNAcentral